CGGGAUGUGGCUCAGCUUGGUAGAGCGCUGCGUUCGGGACGCAGAGGUCGCAGGUUCAAAUCCUGUCAUCCCGACCA
RNAcentral lists this transfer RNA (77 nucleotides) under Senegalimassilia anaerobia. RNAcentral describes it as "tRNA-Pro". It matches the Rfam family "tRNA". From Rfam's summary of the family: Transfer RNA (tRNA) molecules are approximately 80 nucleotides in length. Their secondary structure includes four short double-helical elements and three loops (D, anti-codon, and T loops). Lineage: Bacteria; Bacillati; Actinomycetota; Coriobacteriia; Coriobacteriales; Coriobacteriaceae. The record is from RNAcentral. RNAcentral also lists the same sequence under 8 other names.